RNAcentral lists this ribosomal RNA (293 nucleotides) under uncultured bacterium. Its description in RNAcentral is "partial 16S ribosomal RNA". It matches the Rfam family "Bacterial small subunit ribosomal RNA", at positions 505 to 796 of the family's 1533-position model. The record is from RNAcentral.
GUGCCAGCAGCCGCGGUAACACGUAGGGGCCAAGCGUUGUCCGGAUUUAUUGGGCGUAAAGAGCUCGUAGGCGGUUCGACAAGUCGGGUGUGAAAACUCCGGGCUCAACCCGGAGACGCCACCCGAUACUGUCGUGACUGGAGUCCGGUAGGGGAGUGGGGAAUUCCUGGUGUAGCGGUGAAAUGCGCAGAUAUCAGGAGGAACACCGGUGGCGAAGGCGCCACUCUGGGCCGGUACUGACGCUGAGGAGCGAAAGCGUGGGUAGCAAACAGGAUUAGAUACCCUGGUAGUCC